RNAcentral lists this transfer RNA (75 nucleotides) under Candidatus Borkfalkia ceftriaxoniphila. RNAcentral describes it as "Candidatus Borkfalki ceftriaxensis tRNA-Arg". It matches the Rfam family "tRNA". From Rfam's summary of the family: Transfer RNA (tRNA) molecules are approximately 80 nucleotides in length. The record is from RNAcentral. Lineage: Bacteria; Bacillati; Bacillota; Clostridia; Christensenellales; Christensenellaceae.
GCUUCCGUAAUUAAAUGGAUAUAAUACCUCCCUCCUAAGGAGGCUUUGUGGGUUCGAUUCCCGCCGGGAGUACCA